CUUCUUUUAUGUUAGGAUCCAGGUAACCAGACAAAUGGUCUCCAGACUCUCAGGGUGUUCAAACCACAGCAAGAUUUAUUAGGCCAAUAGAGUGACAGAGCAGCAACGUUUCGACCUGCUCCUAGGACUUUGUCAAGCUAACACCACAUAUCAAACUCCGUGUAUAUAUAUAUCUAUUGUGCAAAUUGAUAAUUAACCAAUAAUACAUUUACAUAUACUAAUCAUCUAUAAUAUAUUUACAUCAGUGAUAUAACAAACCAUGCAAACAAAACAGUAAUAUAAAAUACAGUAAGAGCUCACCUCUGUGUGCCUAUAGGAAGAAAGGCAAAAGGGGCAAAAGAAAGAUUAUGUAGAGAUAAAAAAAAAUAAACGCUACUAAGAGUCCUGUGGGUACACUUCCUGUCCGAUGGAACGCAAAGCUGCGUUUAGGAUCCAGGUAAGAGCGACUUUCCCCACUGGAUAAAAUGGCCAUGCAGUUAUGGAUAAGUAUACUAUAUUUAAUAUUUAAUGUUCUUACCUUCUACAUUUUGUAUAGAUUUUUUAAAAUAAAAACCUACUUAUUAGGAUUCCAAAUUUUCUACUAUUUACCAAUAGUUUAAAGGUUUUCUGAGUGCUGGCUGCCCAUUAUCAGAUAGCCCUAUAUCUAGUUAUACUCAUAAUCUCUAAAUCAAUGCAGUGUUAGAGACUUUAAUCAAUUAUAAUGUACAGAGAAUCUUAGAUGUAGACAGUGCUGUGUAACUGAAAAUGCUUGCCCUAUCAAUCUGCUCCUAACAUUUUAAGACAGGAAAUCAGAUAAAGCGAAUUGCUAAAUCAUGAGUUUGCUAACUCAGCAACAGUUACAAAGCAAACAAAAAAAUCCUUUGCUCUUAUAUCUAUGUGUGAAAUAAAAAAUGAAGGGAGAAAACCCAGCUUGUAUAUCCUGUAUAAGGGUAGUGCAAUCUUAGGAACAAAUGUGUAAAACAUUACACAAUACAUUAACCCCUUAAGGACCAAGACUAUUUUGUGAUGCG
Pelobates cultripes (western spadefoot toad) is the source of this 1010-nucleotide non-coding RNA. NCBI's taxonomy places the organism in Eukaryota, Metazoa, Chordata, Amphibia, Anura, Pelobatidae. The record is from the annotation of a GenBank genome assembly.